This 252-nucleotide ribosomal RNA is filed under the name uncultured bacterium. Its description in RNAcentral is "partial 16S ribosomal RNA". It matches the Rfam family "Bacterial small subunit ribosomal RNA", at positions 524 to 776 of the family's 1533-position model. The record is from RNAcentral.
UACGUAGGUGGCGAGCGUUGUCCGGAUUUAUUGGGUUUAAAGGGUGCGUAGGCGGCUUAUUAAGUCAGUGGUUAAAUCGUGUGGCUCAACCAUACUUCGCCAUUGAUACUGAUAGGCUAGAAUAUGUCCGAGGAUGCUGGAAUGAGUGGUGUAGCGGUGAAAUGCAUAGAUAUCACUCAGAACACCGAUUGCGAAGGCAGGCAUCUGGGGCGUGAUUGACGCUGAGGCACGAAAGUGUGGGGAGCAAACAGG